AUGGUAGGAUAGAGGCCUACCAUGGUGGUAACGGGUAACGGGGUGUUAGGGCACGACACCGGAGAGGGAGCCUGAGAAACGGCUACCACAUCCAAGGAUGGCAGCAGGCGCGCAAAUUACCCAAUCCCGACACGGGGAGGUAGUGACAAUAAAUAACAAUACGGGGUUCUUUAGGAUCUCGUAAUUGGAAUGAGUACAAUUUAAAUCUCUUAACGAGGAACAAUUGGAGGGCAAGUCUGGUGCCAGCAGCCGCGGUAAUUCCAGCUCCAAUAGCGUAUAUUAAAGUUGUUGCAGUUAAAAAGCUCGUAGUUGAAUUUCGGGGUCGGUAGGUCGGUCGUGCCACUGGUAUGAACUGGUUUUACUGAUUCCUCCCUCUUGAAGAACUGUAAUGCCAUUAAUUUGGUGUUGCAGGGAAUCAGGACUGUUACUUUGAAAAAAUUAGAGUGUUUAAAGCAGGCUUUAGCUUGAAUACAUUAGCAUGGAAUAAUGAAAUAGGACGUUUGAUCAUAUUUUGUUGGUUUCUAGGAUUGACGUAAUGAUUAAUAGGGGUAGUUGGGGGCAUUAGUAUUCAAUUGUCAGAGGUGAAAUUCUUGGAUUUAUUGAAGACUAACUACUGCGAAAGCAUUUGCCAAGGAUGUUUUCAUUAAUCAAGAACGAAAGUUAGGGGAUCGAAGACGAUCAGAUACCGUCGUAGUCUUAACCAUAAACUAUGCCGACUAGGGAUCGGAUGAUGUUAAUUUUUUAAUGACUCAUUCGGCGCCUUACGGGAAACCAAAGUGUUUGGG
RNAcentral lists this ribosomal RNA (785 nucleotides) under uncultured Glomus. RNAcentral describes it as "SSU rRNA". It matches the Rfam family "Eukaryotic small subunit ribosomal RNA", at positions 325 to 1111 of the family's 1831-position model. The record is from RNAcentral. Lineage: Eukaryota; Fungi; Glomeromycota; Glomeromycetes; Glomerales; Glomeraceae.